RNAcentral lists this ribosomal RNA (497 nucleotides) under uncultured bacterium. Its description in RNAcentral is "partial 16S ribosomal RNA". It matches the Rfam family "Bacterial small subunit ribosomal RNA", at positions 28 to 507 of the family's 1533-position model. The record is from RNAcentral.
GAUGAACGCUGGCGGCGUGCCUAAUACAUGCCAGUCGAGCGAACAGACGAGGAGCUUGCUCCUUUGACGUUAGCGGCGGACGGGUGAGUAACACGUGGGUAACCUACCUAUAAGACUGGGAUAACUUCGGGAAACCGGAGCUAAUACCGGAUAAUAUUUCGAACCGCAUGGUUCGAUAGUGAAAGAUGGCUCUGCUAUCACUUAUAGAUGGACCUGCGCCGUAUUAGCUAGUUGGUAAGGUAACGGCUUACCAAGGCAACGAUACGUAGCCGACCUGAGAGGGUGAUCGGCCACACUGGAACUGAGACACGGUCCAGACUCCUACGGGAGGCAGCAGUAGGGAAUCUUCCGCAAUGGGCGAAAGCCUGACGGAGCAACGCCGCGUGAGUGAUGAAGGUCUUCGGAUCGUAAAACUCUGUUAUUAGGGAAGAACAAACGUGUAAGUAACUGUGCACGUCUUGACGGUACCUAAUCAGAAAGCCACGGCUAACUACGUG